RNAcentral lists this unclassified non-coding RNA (602 nucleotides) under Hevea brasiliensis (rubber tree). The record is from RNAcentral. Lineage: Eukaryota; Viridiplantae; Streptophyta; Magnoliopsida; Malpighiales; Euphorbiaceae.
GUUGAGAUCAAUGGCUUCCCCUGAAAAAGUGGGUGGUGGUGCGCACGAUAAGCACAACCACCACAAGACUGUCAGAAAUGAUUAUGCUAACAACAACAACCACCACGGUGGCGCUGGAUCGUCGGAAAGUGCGCAGGAUAGCAAGGAAGACGGAAAUGAAGCGAUUCCGAUGGUAUGGCCAUCUAAGUUUGUGAUAGGUUUAACAAACAAGGAGAAAGAAGAGGAUUUCAUGGCUAUCAAAGGCUCAAAGUUGCCUCAAAGACCCAAAAAAAGAGCCAAAACUGUUCAACGCACCCUCAAUCUAAUAAGUCCUGGAGAUUGGCUAUGUGAUUUAUCGUUGGAGCGAUAUGAAGUUAGGGAGAAAAAAGUAUCCAAGAAGAGACCAAGAGGACUCAAAGCUAUGGGAAACAUGGAAUCUGACUCUGAGUAAACUAUUACUGGUUUCAUUGAGUGAAAAAAACAACUACUUUAUGACUGAAAAUAUGAGCUGUUUCAAAUGUACUUUUUUCGCCUUUCGAUACUCUAUAAUUAAUUUUGAGAUAACUUUAUCCGUGAACGAAACGAUCUCAAGGGCUAGGUUGAUUGUACUUCUUCGUUGGCGU